GUAGGCGGUCUGUCGCGUCUGCUGUGAAAUCCCGAGGCUCAACCUCGGGCCUGCAGUGGGUACGGGCAGACUAGAGUGCGGUAGGGGAGAUUGGAAUUCCUGGUGUAGCGGUGGAAUGCGCAGAUAUCAGGAGGAACACCGAUGGCGAAGGCAGAUCUCUGGGCCGUAACUGACGCUGAGGAGCGAAAGCGUGGGGAGCGAACAGGAUUAGAUACCCUGGUAGUCCACGCCGUAAACGUUGGGCGCUAGAUGUGGGGACCAUUCCACGGUUUCCGUGUCGCAGCUAACGCAUUAAGCGCCCCGCCUGGGGAGUACGGCCGCAAGGCUAAAACUCAAAGGAAUUGACGGGGGCCCGCACAAGCGGCGGAGCAUGCGGAUUAAUUCGAUGCAACGCGAAGAACCUUACCAAGGCUUGACAUAUACGAGAACGGGCUAGAAAUAGUCAACUCUUUGGACACUCGUAAACAGGUGGUGCAUGGUUGUCGUCAGCUCGUGUCGUGAGAUGUUGGGUUAAGUCCCGCAACGAGCGCAACCCUCGUUCUAUGUUGCCAGCGCGUAAUGGCGGGAACUCAUAGGAGACUGCCGGGGUCAACUCGGAGGAAGGUGGGGAUGACGUCAAAUCAUCAUGCCCCUUAUGUCUUGGGCUUCACGCAUGCUACAAUGGCCGGUACAAAGGGCUGCAAUACCGUAAGGUGGAGCGAAUCCCAAAAAGCCGGUCUCAGUUCGGAUUGAGGUCUGCAACUCGACCUCAUGAAGUCGGAGUCGCUAGUAAUCGCAGAUCAGCAACGCUGCGGUGAAUACGUUCCCGGGCCUUGUACACACCGCCCGUCAAGUCAUGAAAGUCGGUAACACCCGAAGCCGGUGGCCUAACC
This 872-nucleotide ribosomal RNA is filed under the name Leifsonia aquatica. Its description in RNAcentral is "bacterial SSU rRNA". It matches the Rfam family "Bacterial small subunit ribosomal RNA", at positions 571 to 1440 of the family's 1533-position model. Lineage: Bacteria; Bacillati; Actinomycetota; Actinomycetes; Micrococcales; Microbacteriaceae. The record is from RNAcentral.